CAGGGAGGUGGUGAAGCACUGUCCCUGGAAGUGUUCGGGAAAUAACUGGAUGUGGCACUUAGUGCUGUGGUUUAGUUAACACAGUGGUGUUGGAUCAAAGGUGUGAUCAGUGAUCUUGGGCAUAUUUUCCAAUCUAAUGAUUCUGUGAUUCAGUGAAUAUAGCAAGUCAGUCAGUCUACCCCCUCACGGGAAGGGGUGCAGAGCCCUUUCAGGGUACUUUCAGUCGUCCCUCUUUGCUGAAGCUGCAU
Long non-coding RNA from Chiroxiphia lanceolata (lance-tailed manakin), 248 nucleotides. RefSeq lists it as uncharacterized. NCBI's taxonomy places the organism in Eukaryota, Metazoa, Chordata, Aves, Passeriformes, Pipridae. The transcript has 3 exons. The record is from RefSeq and is a predicted model, not a curated record.